Pecten maximus is the source of this 661-nucleotide long non-coding RNA. RefSeq lists it as uncharacterized. The transcript is spliced from 3 exons. Lineage: Eukaryota; Metazoa; Mollusca; Bivalvia; Pectinida; Pectinidae. The record is from RefSeq and is a predicted model, not a curated record.
AUAUACAGUACGGUAUAGUAUUGGCGACAUUUAAUUUCCCCACUCACGGAAUACAAUCGACAAACUGGGAACAGAAUAUCAAAUUUCGUCUAGCUUUUGGCGACUUAUGAUACCCCUUUCACCGGCAAACACUGAAUUAUCGGACAACAUGAAAUCAGGGACUAAAUUCACCAGCAUUCAUGAUCCUCGGACCACCCGCCCCCUACGCACAGCCGAUUUAUAAAUGUUGCAUCUUUCAAUCAGUGUCAAUCCCAAGAAGAACCCUGACCAGCUCCUGGAAAAAUCAGUGUUCUUGCAGUAUUGUCAGUCAAAUCUCAAGGAAAGGAUCCCAGAAGAGGAACAUUUACAUUAUUUCAGACUUUUUUCUUUCCUGUGUAACAAUGCCUCAAACAGCUAACACAUUUUAUAUAGUAUACAAUACAAUGUGUAUUAAUAACAGUCCAGUUAGAGUGCUGUGUUAUGCAGUAAAAAUACUUAAUUCUUGAUGACAUGUUGGUUUUAUGUUUACAUUAAACGGUAGUUAUAAUAUAUACUAGAGAAACAUAGUGGAUAAUGCCUUGUACAGGAGCAGGAGUAUGACAGUGUAAUAGUACAUGACUGCUGCGUUCAUCCAUGGAAGGAGUCUGUUAUUCGAAAUAAAGCUUUCCAUGAGGACGAAAAA